CCCUUAGAUGUCCUGGGCCGCACGCGCGCUACACUGAACGGAUCAGUGCGUUUUCCCUUCCCGAGAGGGACGGGUAACCUGCUGAACCCCGUUCGUGGUAGGGAUCGGGGCUUGCAAUUAUUCCCCGUGAACCAGGAAUGCCCAGUAAGUGCAAGUCAUAAGCUUGCGUUGAUUACGUCCCUGCCCUUUGUACACACCGCCCGUCGCUACUACCGAUUGAACGUUUUAGUGAGGUACUCGGACUGAGCCUCAGAAGAUUCACGUCUUUUGUGCUGCUCGGGAAGAUUCCCAAACUUGAGCGUUUAGAGGAAGUAAAAGUCGUANCA
Molecule: ribosomal RNA, 326 nt
Filed under: uncultured eukaryote
Lineage: Eukaryota
Description: partial 18S ribosomal RNA
Rfam family: Eukaryotic small subunit ribosomal RNA
Source: RNAcentral